AAACUAACGAGGAUUCCCCUAGUAGCGGCGAGCGAAGCAGGGAAAAGCUCAAAUUUGUAAUCUGGCGUCUUCGACGUCCGAGUUGUAAUCUCGAGAAGUGUUUUCCGUGAUAGACCGCAUACAAGUCUCUUGGAACAGAGCGUCAUAGUGGUGAGAACCCAGUACACGAUGCGGAUGCCUAUUACUUUGUGAUACACUUUCGAAGAGUCGAGUUGUUUGGGAAUGCAGCUCAAAUUGGGUGGUAAAUUCCAUCUAAAGCUAAAUAUUGGCGAGAGACCGAUAGCGAACAAGUACCGUGAGGGAAAGAUGAAAAGCACUUUGGAAAGAGAGUUAACAGUACGUGAAAUUGUUGGAAGGGAAACACAUGCAGUGAUACUUGCUAUUCGGGGCAACUCGAUUGGCAGGCCCGCAUCAGUUUUCCGGGGCGGAAAAGCAUAGAGAGAAGGUAGCAGUUUCGGCUGUGUUAUAGCUCUUUAUUGGAUUCGCCCUGGGGGAUUGAGGAACGCAGCGUGCUUUUUGCAUGAGCUUCGGCUUAUCCACGCUU
This 544-nucleotide ribosomal RNA is filed under the name Sporobolomyces sp. ST-87. RNAcentral's name for it is "eukaryotic LSU rRNA". It matches the Rfam family "Eukaryotic large subunit ribosomal RNA", at positions 62 to 618 of the family's 3401-position model. Lineage: Eukaryota; Fungi; Basidiomycota; Microbotryomycetes; Sporidiobolales; Sporidiobolaceae. The record is from RNAcentral.